UGUGUAUGAUGAGCGUAUAAUAGUAAAUUGCAUUUUAGCCUUGUUUUUACAUAUCCGUCCAUCUUUUCUUCUUACUUUUGCAGCAAUGGUUAAAGAGAUGGCCCAAUAUAGCUGAAAUGAUUAGCUUGCUGGAGAAGGAACCUGGUUCCAUCAAUUCAAAGUGGUUGCUCUCUUUAGGGUUUCACCUUUUUCCUACACAAUUUUCAACUAUGCCAUUGUGGUAACAAGUAUGAGGUUUUGGCCCUGAAGCUUUCCUUUAUAUCUACAGUGGUUGGUUAAUAAGGACAUUAGCAGGUGCAAAGUACGGAAUCCUGCACCUGGCUACAGUGGAAAUUAUAUACAACAUUAUCUCCUUGUACAUCAUUUUUCAAGGAAGAGAAGAAACAAUCUAAUGUCCUUGAUAUCAUGGAAGAAAGUUAAGAUGAUGUAAAAGGCAGUUGUGCU
Molecule: long non-coding RNA, 444 nt
Organism: Quercus lobata
Lineage: Eukaryota; Viridiplantae; Streptophyta; Magnoliopsida; Fagales; Fagaceae
Exons: 3
Source: RefSeq, a predicted model, not a curated record